UAGACCCUACGGGGCGCAGCAGUGGGGAAUAUUGCACAAUGGGGGGAACCCUGAUGCAGCGACGCCGCGUGAGCGAAGAAGUAUUUCGGUAUGUAAAGCUCUAUCAGCAGGAACGAGACAAGACGGUACCUGACUAAGAAGCCCCGGCUAACUACGUGCCAGCAGCCGCGGUAAUACGUAGGGGGCAAGCGUUAUCCGGAAUCACUGGGUGUAAAGGGAGCGUAGACGGCUGUGCAAGCCUGAAGUGAAAGGCGGGGGCCCAACCCCUGGACUGCUUUGGGAACUGUACGGCUGGAGUGCAGGGG
RNAcentral lists this ribosomal RNA (305 nucleotides) under uncultured bacterium. Its description in RNAcentral is "bacterial SSU rRNA". It matches the Rfam family "Bacterial small subunit ribosomal RNA", at positions 333 to 654 of the family's 1533-position model. The record is from RNAcentral.